UGAACUGAAUGUGAUAUUCAUGGUACGUUCAUGCCAAAGGGCAGCCAAUUAGCCCAUCAUGUCUGUUCCAGUCAGUGAAAAGGCUGCUCAGUACUUCAGUCUUCCAACACUGGGCGUGAUGACUUUGAGGGGGAUUGUGGCAUCUUGUAG
Molecule: long non-coding RNA, 150 nt
Organism: Mobula hypostoma (lesser devil ray)
Lineage: Eukaryota; Metazoa; Chordata; Chondrichthyes; Myliobatiformes; Myliobatidae
Exons: 3
Source: RefSeq, a predicted model, not a curated record